Molecule: long non-coding RNA, 5914 nt
Organism: Neofelis nebulosa (Clouded leopard)
Lineage: Eukaryota; Metazoa; Chordata; Mammalia; Carnivora; Felidae
Exons: 2
Source: RefSeq, a predicted model, not a curated record
UUUGGGAUGAGCACUGGGUGUUGUAUGGAAACCAAUUUGACAAUAAAUUUCAUAUUUAAAAUAAAAUAAAAUAAAAUAAAAUAUUGAUUAAGUCCUUCCAAUUUGCCAUCCAAAACAGCUGUAUGCUUCUACCAACAGUGUGUGGGCAUAUACUAACAUGGGAUGCUAUCACUCUUAUACAUUUUUGCUGUUCUGAUACGGGCCUGCUGACACACAGGCAGUGUGAGUGGCCUGUCUCCAUAGGGAAGAAUAUUUUGCCAAUGACAUAUUUUAGAAUUAGCAUGAUGAUAUGUUUCAUAAAUAUUUUGAACCCUCCUUUCUGCUGACUGCUCACACCACCUAUCCAUCCCUCCAUAUGCUGCUGCUGCUAGGUAAAAAAACCAUCUUGCUUUAUUUGCAUUUCUCUAAUUAGCAGUGAGGUUGAACGCAUGCUUAUUUGUUUAUUGACAGCUUGUAUUCCUUUCUCACUGAAUUGCCUAUUCACUUUCUUGGUCAGUUUUAUUUUUUAUUUUCUUUUUCUUAUUUUAAAAGAACACUUGAUAUUUGAUGAAUAAUAACCCCUUGUUGCCCAGGUUGUGAAUGUUUUCUGUGUGUCACUCAUAACUUUAUAGUCUCUUUUGCUAUUUUGCUAUUUGAAAGUUAUGUUGGUGUUUGGCAGAAGAUACAAGAGAGUUUUCAUUUCAUUUAAAUCCAUUUCAAAUUAGAAAUACUGUGCUUAUCUGAGUAGGGAGCAAUGCUCAGGAUCAAAGCAAAGCAUAGUAAAAGACUCCUGAGUGGCCUUCCUGUACUCCCUCCACUUGCCUCCCAACUCCCAUCUCUCACCCCAUGCUAUUGCUCCCCUGGGGAUUCCAAGGAGAGAAGGAUGACCAUAAGGAAAGGCAUCACUCUUUACAAGUGUUUAAUCAUCAUACAAUCUCAUCAAUCCAUCAUGGCUUCCAGGUUUUUGUGUCAGACUAAGGAAGUUCUUUCCUACCCAAAGUUUGUAAAGACAUUUUUCUAUAUAUAUUUUUUACAAAUAGUUUUAUUGUUUUGUUUUUUUACAUUUAGAUUUUUAAAUCACCCAUGGUUUAUGGGUAAUUAAGCCAAUUAUCCUUCUGCUGUUUAUGUUGAAUUAUCUAGUCUUCCCCCACUGAUUUGAAAUGCCACCCUGAGGAAUACCUGGCUGGCUCAGGCAGUUGAGCAUGCAACUCUUGAUCUUGGGGGUUGUGAGUUCAAACCCCAUGUUGCAUGUAGAGAUUACUUAACAAUAAGAUAUCAAAAAGAAAGAAAGAAAGAGAAAGAAAGAAAGAAAGAAAGAAAGAAAGAAAGAAAGAAAGAAAGAAAGAAAGAAAGAAAAAGGAAAGAGAAGUAAAGAAAUGCCACCUUGAGCACAUGUGAAAUCCUGUAAGUAUGAACCUGGAUUACUUUCUGGACUCUGUUCCAUUCCAUUGAUCUAGUUGUCUUUUUUCUGAUCAGUACCAUACUACCCUAUUUACUAUAUAGUUUUAUAGUUCUUUUAGUGUCUUAUAAGCCAAUUUUUAUUUUGCUACAGUUGUUUUUCAAAACCUUCUUAGCUAUUUUCAAACAUUUACUCUUCCAGAGAAACUAGAGAAUCAAUUUUUAAAUUAAAAAGACUCCAUUGGGAUUUUGAUAAAAAUUACAUUUAAUUUAUAGAUCAAUAUGGAGAGAAUUGACUCUUAAGAAAUACUGAGGUUUCUUAUCCAUAUAUGACUCUCCAUUUGCAAAAAACGAUAUGUCCUUCAGUAAAACAUAAUUUUAAUGGGUUUUGAAUAUUUUUUAUUAAUUUUAUUUCUAGGUAUUUUUUUUCAAUGUUAUUCAUUUUUGAGAGAGAGAAUGAGAGAAAGACAGAGCAUGAGUGGGGAAGGGGUAGAGAUCUUGAGAGGGAGACACAGAAUCCAAAGCAGGCUCCAGGCUCUGAGCUGUCAGCAUAGAGCCCGACACGGGACUGGAGCUCACGAACUGUGAGAUCAUGACCUGAGUUGAAGUCGGACGCUUAACUGACUGAACCACCCAGGCGCCCCAAUUUGUAGGUAUUUUAGAGUUGUGAUUAUUAUGUGUCAUUUUUCCAUUAUAUUUUUGAAAUGGUUCUUAAUACAUAGUAAAAUUAUGAUUUUUGUAUAUCCCUUUUGUACUUAGUAUCUUGUAUUAUUGUACUUUGUUUACUUAACUCUUCCCCAUUUCUGGGCAUUAGGUUGUUCCCAAGCUUUGAGGAUCAUAAUUAGCCUUGCUAUAAACAUCUCUAAACAGGUAAUUUUUUCUCUUUAAAUUUCUUCCCACAAAUGGAAAAACAGAUUUAAAGAGUAUAUGGAACUUUAUGGCUCUUAUUACACAUUGCUCUGAGUAAUCUCCUGAAGGGCUAGACUCCUUUCCAAUUCUGCCUAUAAUAAUAUCAGCAAAUGAAGUAAUAAUGAUGAAGAUAAUGAUGACAAGGAUGAUGAGACUGUUGGUAAGAGCCAUAUUAUGCUCUGGGCUUCCCAUGUCUUUUCAUCUAAUACUCACAAUGAAUCUAUAAUAUGCUAUUGCUGUCUCAUAUGGACAGAUAAAGGAAACUGAGGUACAGAGAGAUUAACAUCUGCACUCACACCUGGUAGGAGGCGAAGUCAGAUGUGUUGUGUUCCAUGGUCAAUGCCUUCUCAAAUACCCAUACUUUUUUUAAAAGCAUUUUUUAAGUUUAUUUAUUUAUUUUGAGAGAGAGAGAGAGAGGGAGAGCAGGGGAGGGGCAGAGAGAAUCCCAAACUGGUUCCACACCAGUAGCUCUGAGCCCGACUCAAGGCUCAAACUCACAAACCAUGAGAUCAUGACGUGAGCCAAAACCAAGAGUCAGAUGCUUACCAACUGAGCCACCCAGGCGCCCCAUCUAAUACCCAUACUUUUUAUAUUUCAUUUAUAUUUGAGACUUUAAAAGGUAUAUAAGAGCUGAAGUUGUUUUACUUUGCAUUUCUUAACCAAGAAGUAGGUUGUUAGAUAACAUACUUGUUAAACCUCUUUUUCAUCUCCUUUGACCACUUAUCCAAUAGACUGGUGAUGUUAAUUAGAUAUUUGUAACAAUGCCCUCUAAAUUGGAUAGAAAUUGGAUAGAGAUUAUAAAAAAAGAUUGUAUUUUUUUUCCCAUAUGUUUACAUAUAUUCUUAGGUUUUAGUGCCCAUUGAUUCUUCCUUUCCUCUAUUCUAAUUUAUGUCUUCUGUAAAUUCCUUUUUUUUAAUAAAUUUUUUAAAAAUUUAUUUACUUAUUUUGAGAGUGAGCAUGAGCAUGGGGAGCAGCAGAGAGGGAGAGCGAGAAUCCCAAGCAGGCUCUGUGCUGUGCUGUCAGUACAGAGCCCAAUGCAGGGUCCACCCAGGCACCCCUUCUGUAAAUUCUCCUUAUCUGAAAAUUCCAUUACCAGCAUGGGGAAUAGUAUAUUAAGUAGUACUUAACACUCUUAUCUUAUUCAUACAAUGGUAGUCUUAGUAGAAGUAGUAGUAGUAAUGGUAGUGAUAGCAGCUUUCAAAAACUAAGUGCUUACCAAGUGCUAAGGAUAUUACACACAUGAACUCAUUUAAUUAUCACUAUAAUCCAAUGAGAUAUUAUCUUUGUUUUACAGAUGAAGAAAUAGGCCCAGGAGAUCCUGGGUGGCUCAGUGGGUUAAGUGAGUAAGCUUCCAACUCUUGAUCUCAGCUCAGGUCAUGAUCUCGACGUUCGUGGGUUAGAAUCCUGUAUCAGGCUCUGUGUUGACAGCAUGAAGCCUGCUUGGGAUUAUGUCUCUCUCUUUCUCUGCCCCUCCCCACUCUCUCUCUCUCAAAAUAAAUAAAUAAACUUAAAAAAGAAAAAAGAAAUAGGCUCAGAUUUAUCAGCUUGGUCAAGGACACACAAUUAACAAAAGGAAGUCCUGUCUAUGCCGAAGUCCAUGUUCUUAAUAACAGUACUGCUGGCCCCCCAUUAUGUAGAGUAUAAAGUUAACUCUCUUUGAAAACAAAAUCUCUUUAUAAACGUAAAGAAAUCUUCCAUACCAAUUUAUUUCUUCUUAAAAUUUUGAAUGAAUGGGUUUUUAUAACAUUAUAUUAGUUUCACGUUUACAACAUAAUGAUUCAAUAUUUGUAUGUACUGUGAAAUCACCACGCUAAUCUAGUUAACAUCCAUCACCACAUCUAGUUAUAAAUGUUUCAUACUAACUUCUUACAAGCUUUGAAUCAAAGAGAUUUUUAAUUUAAUCAAAUAUUUUCUUAACAUUUAUAAAGAACUUUGUCAUUACCCUUGCCUAUCCUAGCUUCUACCUCUGGUGGUCUCUGGGCAUUGCCACUCUGGCCUCCAGGGGGCACUGUUACCCCUUUAAUACUGUGGCUCAAGCCUUUGCUAAUUCCCUUAAGCACAGAUAAGACCAGGAAAAUAUUUAAACAAAGUUUACAAGGGGCUCAGAUGAACAGAAGGCAAAUGAGUACAGAGAGUAAUAUACAACUAGAUAAUUUGGUUCACUGAAUGCAGAGUAGGCAUUUCAGUAUUUGACACUGAAUACCUUGCUUCCCACUGCAUGCACAAAGCAGAAAACUUUUUUUCUAUCCUGCACUAUGUCCUCAAGCAAGCAAAAUUCUUCAAAAACUGGCUCUGAGAUUGGUAAGGCUAGUUCCAGCUAAGGGCUUCCUUCCAAAUUCUACUUUCCAGUUUCAGUGUCUGCCUCUCCCUACACACUGGACACUUAACAUGUCAGCCCUCUUCUAGAAAGAUGGCAUUGUCUGCUUCUGGUUCGUAGCUUUACCCUGUUGUUUGGGAAUGGUUAUCUGUGGGUGUCUCAUACUCCUUCAUGUCUUAGACAGUAUGCCAAGAAUGUAAGGCCCUAACAGCUUAUACAGCUUAUAUUACAUAUCUAUUACUACAUAACCGAUUACUCCAAAAUGUAGAGGCUUAAAAAACAAACUUUUUUUUUUUGACAGUUUCUUUUGAUUAGGAAUCUGGGCAUAGCUUAGCUAGGUGCCCCUGGUUCCAGAUCAAGGUGUUGGCCAGGGUGCAGUCAUCCCCAGUCUUGAAUAAGGGAGAUUCUUCUUCCAAGCUCAUUCAACAGAGUUGUUGGUAGGCCUCAGGUUCUUACUGUGGCCAAAGACAUCCUUUCCUUGCCAUGUAGGUCUCUCCAUAAGGCAGCUCACAACAUGCUGUCUACCCUCGCAGUGAGUGAGAGAGAACAUGAGAGGGUGCCCAAGACAGAAGCUACAGUCUUUUUAUAACCUCAUGUCAGAAGCAAUAUCCUGUCAUUUGUGCUGUAUUAAAUUAGUUAGAAGUGAGUCAGUAACUCUAGCCCACAGUCAACUGGAGGUGAUUACACCAAGGAGUGAAUACCAGAAGUUUUAGUACACGUGCUACCGAAGUGAGCACAGGAGUCACAGAAUCCGAAGCAGUCUCCAGGCUCCGAGCUGUCAGCAUAGAGCCUAACUUCGAGCUAGAACCCAUGGACCACGAGAUCAUGACCUGAGCUGAAGUUGGAUGCUUAACUGACUGAGUCAUCCAGUCACCUCAAAUGUAAACUAUUAUUAAUAGUGUAAACGUGUAGUAAGUUUUUGUUAACCUCACUCUAUACCUGUUCAAGUCCCCCUUGCUCUUGGUCUCAUCCUUCUGUCUGUUGCCUCCUCCUUUCCUUAAUAAGUGUAAAUGGCUUGGCCCCCACUUGGGCUCUCUUCCCCUCCUCCAUUGUCCUUCUCUUCAACCUUCCUAACCCAGGUUUAAUGCGGCUGUCUCCUCCAUACCUAUACCAUGGCUGCAGAGCUCUGCGAAGAUGAUAUCUAUUGUACAACUUGCAUUUCUCCUACAUCAGUUCAUCCCUCAGUGUGUCCUGCAACUAUUUCUGUGUGUCUCAAACCAGAGCUUUCUGCUUAAUAUAUGUAUCAGCAAAUUUUAAGUGUAGUUUUUAUUUUUGAUAUUGUACUAUUUUGAAUAAAUAUUUUCAAAGUCA